UAGGGAAUAUUGGGCAAUGGGUGAGAGCCUGACCCAGCCAUGCCGCGUGCCGGAAGUCGGCCCUACGGGUUGUAAACGGCUUUUAUAUAGGAACAACAGCCAGGAUGCGUCCUUGGUUUGAGGGUACUAUAAGAAUAAGCACCGGCUUACUCCGUGCCAGCAGCCGCGGUAAUACGGAGGGUGCAAGCGUUGUCCGGAUUUAAUGGGUUUAAAGGGUACGUAGGCGGGCUGUUAAGUCUGAGGUGUAAGCUGCUGGCUCAACCAGGAAAUUGCCUUGGAUACUGGCAGUCUUGAGUACAGUAGAGGUGGGCGGAAUUCAGGGUGUAGCGGUGAAAUGCAUAGAUACCCUGAGGAACACCGAUAGGGAAGCCAGCUCACUGGACUGUUACUGACGCUGAGGUACGAAAGCGUGGGGAGCGAACAGGAUUAGAUACCCCCGUAGUCC
Molecule: ribosomal RNA, 445 nt
Filed under: uncultured prokaryote
Description: bacterial SSU rRNA
Rfam family: Bacterial small subunit ribosomal RNA
Source: RNAcentral